RNAcentral lists this ribosomal RNA (497 nucleotides) under uncultured bacterium. Its description in RNAcentral is "partial 16S ribosomal RNA". It matches the Rfam family "Bacterial small subunit ribosomal RNA", at positions 28 to 507 of the family's 1533-position model. The record is from RNAcentral.
GAUGAACGCUGGCGGCGUGCCUAAUACAUGCAAGUCGAGCGAACAGACGAGGAGCUUGCUCCUCUGACGUUAGCGGCGGACGGGUGAGUAACACGUGGAUAACCUACCUAUCAGACUGGGAUAACUUCGGGAAACCGGAGCUAAUACCGGAUAAUAUAUUGAACCGCAUGGUUCAAUAGUGAAAGACGGUUUUGCUGUCACUUAUAGAUGGAUCCGCGCCGCAUUAGCUAGUUGGUAAGGUAACGGCUUACCAAGGCAACGAUGCGUAGCCGACCUGAGAGGGUGAUCGGCCACACUGGAACGUAGACACGGACCAGACUCCUACGGGAGGCAGCAGUAGGGAAUCUUCCGCAAUGGGCGAAAGCCUGACGGAGCAACGCCACGUGAGUGAUGAAGGUCUUCGGAUCGUAAAACUCUGUUAUUAGGGAAGAACAAAUGUGUAAGUAACUAUGCACGUCUUGACGGUACCUAAUCAGAAAGCCACGGCUAACUACGUG